Molecule: long non-coding RNA, 504 nt
Organism: Camelus dromedarius (Arabian camel)
Lineage: Eukaryota; Metazoa; Chordata; Mammalia; Artiodactyla; Camelidae
Exons: 3
Source: RefSeq, a predicted model, not a curated record
UCAGGGGAGCCUUUAAAAGAAGGUGAAGCGUCAACGAGGUGCACUCCUGCUGGCCUGGAAGAAAGUGAACAGCAAUGGUGCUGCUCGCCCAUGGGAGCCACAUGGCGAGGACUGAGAGCAGGCGCUGGGAGCUGAGAGCAGUCCCUGGCUGACAGCCGGCAAGAAAACGGAGGCCUCGGUCCUACAGCUGCAAGGAAAUGGAUUCUGCCAACAACCAGUGAGCUUGGAAGAGGAUCCCAGGCCUCAGAUGAGAAUCACAGCCCUGGCCGCCACUUUGAUUUCAUCCUGCCAUGUUGGCCCAGGCCACCUCCUCCUUCGGCCUGGACCCCCACGACAGCAUCUGACUGCUCUCCCUGUUCCAAGCAGUAACUCCAUCACUGCAGGCACAACCAGCUGUGGGAUCCCCCAUGGACCUCUGGGGCUGAAUGCCGUGGAAACCCCAGAAGAAGCCUGAGCCCAUGCCGCUCCCCUUCCCUCCGUUACCUGGCCCAAGAUCAAGGUAAC